UACGUAGGAAGCGAGCGUUGUCCGGAAUCACUGGGCGUAAAGCGCGUGUAGGCGGUACGGCAAGUCUGCUGUGAAAGCGCCCGGCUUAACGGGGCGAGGUCGGCGGAAACUGCUGAACUGGAGGACGGUAGAGGGGGGUGGAAUUCCCGGUGUAGUGGUGAAAUGCGUAGAGAUCGGGAGGAACACCUGUGGCGAAGGCGGCCCCCUGGGCCGGGCCUGACGCUGAGACGCGAAGGCGCGGGGAGCGAACGGG
Molecule: ribosomal RNA, 253 nt
Filed under: uncultured bacterium
Lineage: Bacteria
Description: partial 16S ribosomal RNA
Rfam family: Bacterial small subunit ribosomal RNA
Source: RNAcentral